This 253-nucleotide ribosomal RNA is filed under the name uncultured bacterium. RNAcentral's name for it is "partial 16S ribosomal RNA". It matches the Rfam family "Bacterial small subunit ribosomal RNA", at positions 524 to 776 of the family's 1533-position model. The record is from RNAcentral.
UACGUAUGUCCCGAGCGUUAUUCGGAUUUAUUGGGCGUAAAGCGAGCGCAGACGGUUAAAUAAGUCUGAUGUGAAAGCCCUGAGCUUAACUUAGGAAUGGCAUUUGAAACUGUUUAACUUGAGUGUAGUAGAGGAAAGUAGAACUCCAUGUGUAGCGGUGAAAUGCGUAGAUAUGUGGAAGAACACCAGUGGCGAAGGCGGCUUUCUGGACUGUAACUGACGCUGAGGCGCGAAAGUGUGGGUAGCAAACAGG